UUCAGUCUCCGAGUUGUAAUUUGAAGUUGGUAUCUUUGGGUCUCCCUCUUGUCUAUGUUUCUUGGUUCAGAACGUCACAGAGGGUGAGAAUCCCGUGCGAUGAGAUGAUCCAGGCCUAUGUAAAGUUCCAACGAACUGUCGAGUUGUUUGGGAAUGCAGCUCUAAGUGGGUGGUAAAUUCCAUCUAAAGCUAAAUAUUGGCGAGAGACCGAUAGCGAACAAGUACAGUGAUGGAAAGAUGUUUUGAACUUUGAAAAGAGAGUGUUUAAGUACGUGAAAUUGUUGAAAGGGAAGGGCUUGAGAUCAGACUUGGUAUUUUGUAUGUUACUUCUUCGGGGGUGGCCUCUACAGUUUAUCGGGCCAGCAUCAGUUUGGGCGGUAGGAGAAUUGCGUUGGAAUGUGGCACGGCUUCGGUUGUGUGUUAUAGCCUUCGUCGAUACUGCCAGCCUAGACUGAGGACUGCGGUUUAUACCUAGGAUGUUGGCAUAAUGAUCUUAAGUCGCCCGUCUUGAAACACGGACCAAGGAGUCUAACGUCUAUGCGAGUGUUUGGGUGUAAAACCCGUACGCGUAAUGAAAGUGAACGUAGGUGGGGGCCCGUAUGGGUGCACCAUCGACCGAUCCUGAUGUCUUCGGAUGGAUUUGAGUAAGAGCAUAGCUGUUGGGACCCGAAAGAUGGUGAACUAUGCCUGAAUAGGGUGAAGCCAGAGGAAACUCUGGUGGAGGCUCGUAGCGGUUCUGACGUGCAAAUCGAUCGUCGAAUUUGGGUAUACCCCCGAAAGACUUUUCGAC
RNAcentral lists this ribosomal RNA (790 nucleotides) under Candida tropicalis. RNAcentral describes it as "partial large subunit ribosomal RNA". It matches the Rfam family "Eukaryotic large subunit ribosomal RNA", at positions 130 to 940 of the family's 3401-position model. The record is from RNAcentral. Lineage: Eukaryota; Fungi; Ascomycota; Pichiomycetes; Serinales; Debaryomycetaceae.